RNAcentral lists this unclassified non-coding RNA (193 nucleotides) under plant metagenome. Its description in RNAcentral is "partial contains small subunit ribosomal RNA, internal transcribed spacer 1, and 5.8S ribosomal RNA". The record is from RNAcentral.
UCUCCGUUGGUGAACCAGCGGAGGGAUCAUUACAGGACUCGCAAGACUCCUUACACCCUGUGAACCUUACUGUAUACGCGUUGUUUCGGCGGGUCCGCCCGCCGGCAGCAUACCACAUUCUGUUUCUCUGCGUUGGCAUCUCGAGAAAAAAGCAAAUAAGUUAAAACUUUCAACAACGGAUCUCUUGGUUCUG